UACGGAAGGCAGCAGUGGGGAAUAUUGCACAAUGGGCGAAAGCCUGAUGCAGCUAUGCCGCGUGUAUGAAGAAGGGCCUUAGGGUUGUAAAGUACUUUCAGCAGGGAGGAAAGAAAUAAAACUAAUAAUUUUAUUUUGUGACGUUACCUGAAGAAGAAGCACCGGCUAACUCCGUGCCAGCAGCCGCGGUAAUACGGAGGGUGCAAGCGUUAAUCAGAAUUACUGGGCGUAAAGAGCGCGUAGGUGGUUUUUUUAAGUCAGAUGUGAAAUCCCUAGGCUUAACCUAGGAACUGCAUUUUGAAACUGAAAAACUAGAGUAUCGUAGAGGGAGGUAGAAUUCUAGGUGUAGCGGUGAAAUGCGUAGAUAUCUGGAGGAAUACCUGUGGCGAAAGCGGCCUCCUAAACGAAUACUGACACUGAGGUGCGAAAGCGUGGGGAGCAAACAGGGAUUAGAUACC
RNAcentral lists this ribosomal RNA (458 nucleotides) under uncultured bacterium. RNAcentral describes it as "bacterial SSU rRNA". It matches the Rfam family "Bacterial small subunit ribosomal RNA", at positions 340 to 786 of the family's 1533-position model. The record is from RNAcentral.